This 388-nucleotide ribosomal RNA is filed under the name uncultured bacterium. RNAcentral describes it as "bacterial SSU rRNA". It matches the Rfam family "Bacterial small subunit ribosomal RNA", at positions 30 to 417 of the family's 1533-position model. The record is from RNAcentral.
AUUGAACGCUGGCGGCAUGCCUUACACAUGCAAGUCGAACGGCAGCGGACCUUCGGGUGCCGGCGAGUGGCGAACGGGUGAGUAAUAUAUCGGAACGUACCUUUCAGUGGGGGAGUAACGUAGCGAAAGUUACGCUAAUACCGCAUAUUCUGUGAGCAGGAAAGCAGGGGGAUCGCAAGACCUUGCGCUGAUUGAGCGGCCGAUAUCAGAUUAGCUAGUUGGUGAGGUAAAGGCUCACCAAGGCGACGAUCUGUAGCGGGUCUGAGAGGAUGAUCCGCCACACUGGAACUGAGACACGGUCCAGACUCCUACGGGAGGCAGCAGUGGGGGAAUUUUGGACAAUGGGCGCAAGCCUGAUCCAGCCAUGCCGCGUGAGUGAAGAAGGCCU